Molecule: ribosomal RNA, 465 nt
Filed under: uncultured bacterium
Lineage: Bacteria
Description: partial 16S ribosomal RNA
Rfam family: Bacterial small subunit ribosomal RNA
Source: RNAcentral
GAUGAACGCUGGCGGCGUGCUUAACACAUGCAAGUCGAACGGAAAGGCUCCUGCUUGCAGGGGUACUCGAGUGGCGAACGGGUGAGUAACACGUGGGUGAUCUGCCCUGCACUUCGGGAUAAGCCUGGGAAACUGGGUCUAAUACCGGAUAGGACCACAUUUUGGAUGGUGUGGUGGAAAGUUUUUCGGUGUGGGAUGAGCUCGCGGCCUAUCAGCUUGUUGGUGGGGUAAUGGCCUACCAAGGCGUCGACGGGUAGCCGGCCUGAGAGGGUGUACGGCCACAUUGGGACUGAGAUACGGCCCAGACUCCUACGGGAGGCAGCAGUGGAGAAUAUUGCACAAUGGGCGCAAGCCUGAUGCAGCGACGCCGCGUGGGGGAUGACGGCCUUCGGGUUGUAAACUCCUUUCGCUAGGGACGAAGCGCAAGUGACGGUACCUGGAGAAGAAGCACCGGCUAACUACGUG